UUUCUUAAAGUAAUAAUUACAUUUAAUUUCGACUUAAAAUCUUGUUUUAAUAAAAACUAAGAAAA
This 65-nucleotide transfer RNA is filed under the name Pheidole pieli. RNAcentral's name for it is "tRNA-Arg". The record is from RNAcentral. Lineage: Eukaryota; Metazoa; Arthropoda; Insecta; Hymenoptera; Formicidae.